CUGCCCUUUUUUCUGUACAUGCCCGAAGCGGCCUUCUAAGCCGUAGGUCACAGGUUCGACCCCCUGUCGGGCAGGCCA
Molecule: transfer RNA, 78 nt
Filed under: Serpentinimonas raichei
Lineage: Bacteria; Pseudomonadati; Pseudomonadota; Betaproteobacteria; Burkholderiales; Comamonadaceae
Description: tRNA-Ser (CGA) (tRNA-Ser-CGA-2-1)
Source: RNAcentral